CCAGUUUGAUCCUGGCUCAGGAUGAACGUGGGGCGGGCUUAACACAUGCAAGUCGAACGAGCGACUAUUAACAGAACCUAUUCGGGGCGAAGAAUAUAGAAGUUAGUGGCGGACGGGUGCGUAACGCGUGGGUAAUCUGCCUUUGUCAAAGAAAUAACUAUUCGAAAGAAUAGCUAAAACCGUAUAACAUAUUAAUAGGGCAUCCUAAUAAUAUCAAAACUAAGGUGGACAAAGAUGAGCCCGCGUCUGAUUAGCUAGUUGGUGAGAUAAAAGCCCACCAAGGCAACGAUCAGUAGCCGACCUGAGAGGGUGAACGGCCACAUUGGAACUGAGACACGGUCCAAACUCCUACGGGAGGCAGCAGUGGGGAAUAUUGCACAAUGGGGGGAACCCUGAUGCAGCAACGCCGCGUGAGUGAAGAAGGCAUUCGUGUCGUAAAACUCUGUAGUAGGGGAAGAAAGAAAUGACAGUACCCUAAAAGAAAGCCCCGGCUAACUACGUGCCAGCAGCCGCGGUAAUACGUAGGGGGCAAGCGUUAUCCGGAAUAACUGGGCGUAAAGGGUGCGCAGGUGGUUUAACAAGUUAGUGGUGAAAGGCAUAGGCUCAACCAAUGUAAGCCAUUAAAACUGUUU
This 632-nucleotide ribosomal RNA is filed under the name uncultured bacterium. Its description in RNAcentral is "bacterial SSU rRNA". It matches the Rfam family "Bacterial small subunit ribosomal RNA", at positions 9 to 638 of the family's 1533-position model. The record is from RNAcentral.